This 468-nucleotide ribosomal RNA is filed under the name uncultured bacterium. Its description in RNAcentral is "partial 16S ribosomal RNA". It matches the Rfam family "Bacterial small subunit ribosomal RNA", at positions 28 to 507 of the family's 1533-position model. The record is from RNAcentral.
GACGAACGCUGGCGGCGUGCUUAACACAUGCAAGUCGAACGGAAAGGCCCUGCUUUUGUGGGGUGCUCGAGUGGCGAACGGGUGAGUAACACGUGAGUAACCUGCCCUUGACUUUGGGAUAACUUCAGGAAACUGGGGCUAAUACCGGAUAGGAGCUCCUGCUGCAUGGUGGGGGUUGGAAAGUUUCGGCGGUUGGGGAUGGACUCGCGGCUUAUCAGCUUGUUGGUGGGGUAGUGGCUUACAAAGGCUUUGACGGGUAGCCGGCCUGAGAGGGUGACCGGGCACAUUGGGACUGAGGUACGGCCCAGACGCCUACGGGAGGCAGCAGGGGGGAAUAUUGCAGAAUGGGCGGAAGCCUGAUGCGGCAACGCCGCGUGCGGGAUGACGGCCUUCGGGUUGUAAACCGCUUUCGCCUGUGACGAAGCGUGAGUGACGGUAAUGGGUAAAGAAGCACCGGCUAACUACGUG